CUUUCAUGUGCGAAACNUGAUAAGGGACUCCGAGUGCCAGCAUUAAAUGUUGGCUGUCCUUNUGNNUAAAACUCANNNGAUAGCAAGGGCCGGGUAAGACCGGUGCCAGCCGCCGCGGUAACACCGGCGGCCCGAGUGGUAGUCGCUNUUAUUGGGUCUAAAGGGUCCGUAGCCGGUUUGAUAAGUCCUCUGGGAAAUCUGAUUGCUCAACNAUCAGGCUNCCAAGGGAUACUGUCAAACUUGAGACCGGGAAGAGGUAAGAGGUACUUCAGGGGUAGGAGUGAAAUCUUAUAAUCCUUGGGGGACCNUCUGUGGCGAAGGCGUCUUACCAGAACGGGUCUGACGGUGAGGGACGAAAGCUGGGGGNGCNAACCGGAUUAGAUACCCGGGUAGUCCCAGCCGUAAACGAUGCUCGCUAUGUGUCAGAUACGGUGCGACCGUAUCUGGUGCCGUAGGGAAGCCGUNAAGCGAGCCACCUGGGAAGUACGGCCGCAAGGCUGAAACUUAAAGGAAUUGGCGGGGGAGCACUACAACGGGUGGAGCCUGCGGUUUAAUUGGAUUNCAACGCCGGAAA
Molecule: ribosomal RNA, 574 nt
Filed under: uncultured Methanosarcinales archaeon
Lineage: Archaea; Methanobacteriati; Methanobacteriota; Methanomicrobia; Methanosarcinales
Description: partial 16S ribosomal RNA
Rfam family: Archaeal small subunit ribosomal RNA
Source: RNAcentral